RNAcentral lists this ribosomal RNA (687 nucleotides) under uncultured bacterium. RNAcentral describes it as "bacterial SSU rRNA". It matches the Rfam family "Bacterial small subunit ribosomal RNA", at positions 69 to 745 of the family's 1533-position model. The record is from RNAcentral.
GUAGCACAGAGGAGCUUGCUCCUUGGGUGACGAGUGGCGGACGGGUGAGUAACGUCUGGAAACUGCCCGAUGGAGGGGGAUAACUACUGGAAACGGUAGCUAAUACCGCAUAACGUCGCAAGACCAAAGAGGGGGACCUUCGGGCCUCUUGCCAUCGGAUGUGCCCAGAUGGGAUUAGCUAGUAGGUGGGGUAACGGCUCACCUAGGCGACGAUCCCUAGCUGGUCUGAGAGGAUGACCAGCCACACUGGAACUGAGACACGGUCCAGACUCCUACGGGAGGCAGCAGUGGGGAAUAUUGCACAAUGGGCGCAAGCCUGAUGCAGCCAUGCCGCGUGUAUGAAGAAGGCCUUCGGGUUGUAAAGUACUUUCAGCGAGGAGGAAGGUGUUGUGGUUAAUAACCGCAGCAAUUGACGUUACUCGCAGAAGAAGCACCGGCUAACUCCGUGCCAGCAGCCGCGGUAAUACGGAGGGUGCAAGCGUUAAUCGGAAUUACUGGGCGUAAAGCGCACGCAGGCGGUCUGUCAAGUCGGAUGUGAAAUCCCCGGGCUCAACCUGGGAACUGCAUCCGAAACUGGCACGCUAGAGCCUUGUAGAGGGGGGUAGAAUUCCAGGUGUAGCGGUGAAAUGCGUAGAGAUCUGGAGGAAUACCGGUGGCGAAUGCCGGCCCCCUGGACAAAGACUGACG